RNAcentral lists this ribosomal RNA (433 nucleotides) under uncultured bacterium. Its description in RNAcentral is "partial 16S ribosomal RNA". It matches the Rfam family "Bacterial small subunit ribosomal RNA", at positions 28 to 507 of the family's 1533-position model. The record is from RNAcentral.
GACGAACGCUGGCGGCAUGCCUAACACAUGCAAGUUGAACGAGACCUUCGGGUCUUUUGUCGCACGGGUGCGUAACGCGUGGGAACCUGCCCUUAGGUUCGGAAUACCUCCCCGAAAGGGGUGCUAAUACCGGAUAAUGUCUUCGGACCAAAGAUUUAUUGCCUUUGGUUGGUCCCGGGUUGGAUUAGCUAUUUGGUAGGGUAAAAGCCGACCAAGGGGACGAUCAGUAGCUGGUCUGAGAGGAUGAUCAGCCACACUGGGACUGAGACACGGCCCAGACUCCUACGGGAGGCAGCAGUGGGGAAUAUUGGACAAUGGGCGAAAGCCUGAUCCAGCAAUGCCGCGUGAGUGAUGAAGGCCUUAGGGUUGUAAAGCUCUUUUACCCGGGAUGAUAAUGACAGUACCGGGAUAAUAAGCUCCGGCUAACUCCGUG